Molecule: transfer RNA, 72 nt
Organism: Ipomoea nil (Japanese morning glory)
Lineage: Eukaryota; Viridiplantae; Streptophyta; Magnoliopsida; Solanales; Convolvulaceae
Rfam family: tRNA
About the family: Transfer RNA (tRNA) molecules are approximately 80 nucleotides in length. Their secondary structure includes four short double-helical elements and three loops (D, anti-codon, and T loops).
Source: Rfam
AUCAAAGUGGCGUAGCGGAAGCGUGGUGGGCCCAUAACCCACAUGUCCCAUGAUCAAAACUUAGCUUUUAUA